Non-coding RNA from Oncorhynchus mykiss (rainbow trout), 2442 nucleotides. Lineage: Eukaryota; Metazoa; Chordata; Actinopteri; Salmoniformes; Salmonidae. The record is from RefSeq and is a predicted model, not a curated record.
CUGUGACAUUGGUUCUGCAUUCAGUGAGGCUGCAUCUAAGAGAGAGAGAGAAGAGCCCUCCUCUUCAAAUAGCUUACUGUUUACAGAAACUACAAGAGACUGAGCUUCUUCUGAUGUGCCAUGGGAAUUGCAGUACAAGCUGUCUGCUGAGAUAUAGCAGAGCUGAGCUCUUCACAGUGGUGGUGAGGUAAGGUGAGGAAACCACCUCAUAGUUCGCAGUAUUCUGGGACCCUGCAAAUGAGAGGAAAAGCCUCAAUGGUACUAAUUUAAACUGCUGGUGAGUCCAUUGGGACACUACUGCUUACCAUAUGUCAACAUUUGGCAUAGGAUUCCUCAUUCUGGGAAUUACCCAGCUACAUACAAUGGAAGAUCUUAAUUUGAUCACUCUUUUGUUGCUGAGAGUUUUCCUGCAGAUGAGCUUCGUUAUUUACAUAAAUUCACUAACACAUGGUUAUAUUAACAGUUUCACACUUUUCAUGUAGCCUCAUUUUGACCAGUUAAUAGUUUAACCACAGAUCAAGCAACAUUAUGGACUAAACAUUCAAAUCCUGUUGCUGCAGGAUUAUUUUGCUGUGACAAUACUGGUCAAAUUAAGAUCCUACACCUGUAUGUAUGCACUCUAUUAUAUCCUUAUUAGAGUCCAGUGUGUUUCAACUGUGUGUUUGGUACUGUGUGGGAAUCAGCUGAUGGGGGACUAGAGGUUUGUGGGUCUCUGUCAAAUGUUAACAUUGUAUCAAAUAUAAUAGUAGAUUAAUCGUGUUGCAGGUUUACAGAUAGUAGAGACGGAAGCCUCCCUCUCCUUUAUAUGAGGUGCUUACUGCAACCUCUUCCCAUUUGUAACCAUGCAUGAAGAUAGCUUUUGCAUACAAAGUGGAAAGUGAUCUGAGCCCUACUCCAAUGCCUGGUGUCUGGGGGAUUCUCUGACAUGCUGUGAUCUAUGAAUAAGGUUUGCAGGCUCCGUCAGUUGUGCGUUGACAAACAGGAAGAGGGGUGGGGAGAGACCGAGACCUGGGUCCUCAUUCUAAGGAAGUCAGUGCUGUGUGGGCGAACCACCAGUCUUAUCUAGCUCGGCAGACAUGUUCAAGUGCCACAACUGACAGUUAAAAACACUUUCCUGACUAUGCAAUAGUUGUCGAGGUACACUUGAAUUAACUGUGCAGCCUGAUUAUUUUGAGGAGUUGACUCUUGUUUGUAGGGCCUAGGGAUUGGGGAGAAUAAUAAAAAAGUGCCAUUCUCUUAAAUCCCUAUUCCCGUUUGUUUUCACUGAUGUUGAAUAUAGUAGCACCUCCCCACUACAUAUUUAAAAAUGUAUUUUCAUUUUUAAAUGCAUUAUUUUGGUAAAUGUUUUUUUGUCAUAUAACAACUAUAAUAAUUGUAACUUUGGUGAGAAAAUGUAAAUGUCACAAUUAUCAUAUUAACACAUUGCUGUGUUAUCUUCAAGGAGCACGCAGGUUUUCAUAUUGGAACUUGCACAGUGCAGUGUUACAGUGUAAUCAGUCACAGCAGCCAGCCAGCCACCCAGCCAAAAACACAAGCCAAUUAUUUCAGGAAAAAAAGACAAUUGGCUCCUGUGCAAAUUUUAUCAAGCCUUUCCCCUCAUAAUCAACCUGUCCUUUUUCCACCCCCCUGUCUGAAUUUGGACAGCUCGCUGUGCCUGUUACAUUGGAUGAUCCUCAAUGAGUAAACAGCAGUCAAAUGGCUUCCUCAAUAAGUUAAUGAUUUGCUGCAGAGCUCUGCCUGCUGCACUGUCCUUUGGCUGGCACUCCACCUGCAACAUAUGGCAUCUUGAGCAUUAUUGUUUCGAUCUAAUUCUAUGAGUUGGGCCCCGUCAUGGUUGGUCUUUUGAUUAGAGUCUCAGUCCCCCAACAGCUAGUUUAUUCUCCAUGCCAAAUAAGUUGCUCAAAGCAACGAUGGAAUUUUAGGGCGAGACAGCUUGGCCAGAUCUGGGGCCAGGGCGACCAACUAACAGCAGAAAUAGGAAUUUCAUUAUUCUUUGUGAAAGACUCAGCCAUAUCUGAUCUGACUGUCAUCUCUAUUUUACUUCUUGUUGACUUUGCUCCAAAAACACUAGCCUUUAAACAGAUUUUGAUUGGGGUGUUACAACAACAAAAUUUCCACUCUCAACUUUCAUAAAAUGUAUGAAAACACAUUCUAUUUCAUGCAGGGCCUCGUUUGUGCCCGAGGCCAUCCGCAUGGUUAAUAGGAACAUUAAGGAAGUCGGAUGGACUAUUCUAGAGAUAGUUUAGCCCUACAAUUAAUUAAGAACUGUGAAUACCAUUCACUUUAAGUUUCUUAAAUUGCACUAUGCACCCUGACCUGGUGCCUUAAUAAGUGUCUCUAUUUAUUUUUUACACUGUCAGUGUGUGUUUGUCCUGUCUGAAGCACCAUGUCAGCCCGGAAGGAAUUGCCCCUUGGGGAAUAAUAAAGUUGUGUUGUGUUGUA